UACGGAGGUUGCAAGCGUUGUUCGGAAUGACUGGGCGUAAAGGGAGCGCAGGCGGCUUGUUAAGUCUGGAGUGAAAGCCCCGGGGGCUCAACCCCGGCGGGUCGUUCGGUAGUACUGGCGAGACUAGAGUACGGAAGAGGAAAGACGGAUUACCACGGUGUAGCGGUGAAAUAGCGUAGAUAUCUGGAGGAACACCGGUGGCG
Molecule: ribosomal RNA, 203 nt
Filed under: uncultured bacterium
Lineage: Bacteria
Description: partial 16S ribosomal RNA
Rfam family: Bacterial small subunit ribosomal RNA
Source: RNAcentral